Molecule: ribosomal RNA, 253 nt
Filed under: uncultured bacterium
Lineage: Bacteria
Description: partial 16S ribosomal RNA
Rfam family: Bacterial small subunit ribosomal RNA
Source: RNAcentral
UACAGAGGUCCCGAGCGUUGUUCGGAUUCAUUGGGCGUAAAGGGUGCGUAGGCGGCGGGGCAAGUCUGAUGUGAAAUCCCGGGGCUCAACCCCGGAACUGCAUUGGAUACUGCCUUGCUUGAGUACUGGAGAGGGGACUGGAAUUUACGGUGUAGCAGUGAAAUGCGUAGAGAUCGUAAGGAAGGCCAGUGGCGAAGGCGAGUUCCUGGACAGUGACUGACGCUGAGGCACGAAGGCCAGGGGAGCAAACGGG